This 748-nucleotide ribosomal RNA is filed under the name uncultured prokaryote. RNAcentral describes it as "bacterial SSU rRNA". It matches the Rfam family "Bacterial small subunit ribosomal RNA", at positions 720 to 1482 of the family's 1533-position model. The record is from RNAcentral.
GGCAGCUUGNUGGACUGUAACUGACGCUGAGGCACGAAAGCGUGGGGAUCAAACAGGAUUAGAUACCCUGGUANNCCACGCCGUAAACGAUGAAUGCUAGCUGUUAGCGAUAUACUGUUAGCGGCACAGAGAAAUCGUUAAGCAUUCCACCUGGGGAGUACGCCGGCAACGGUGAAACUCAAAGGAAUUGACGGGGGCCCGCACAAGCGGAGGAACAUGUGGUUUAAUUCGAUGAUACGCGAGGAACCUUACCUGGGCUUAAAUUGCAGUGGAAUAACGUGGAAACAUGUUAGCCUUCGGGCCGCUGUGAAGGUGCUGCAUGGUUGUCGUCAGCUCGUGCCGUGAGGUGUCGGCUUAAGUGCCAUAACGAGCGCAACCCUCAUCGAUAGUUACUAACAGGUUAAGCUGAGGACUCUAUCGAGACUGCCGACGUAAGUCGUGAGGAAGGUGGGGAUGACGUCAAAUCAGCACGGCCCUUACGUCCAGGGCUACACACGUGUUACAAUGGGGGGUACAAAGGGCAGCUACCUGGCGACAGGAUGCUAAUCUCAAAAACCUCUCUCAGUUCGGAUUGGAGUCUGCAACCCGACUCCAUGAAGCUGGAUUCGCUAGUAAUCGCGCAUCAGCCACGGCGCGGUGAAUACGUUCCCGGGCCUUGUACACACCGCCCGUCAAGCCAUGGGAGCCGGGGGGACCUGAAGUAUGCAACCGUAAGGAGCGUCCUAGGGUAAAACUGGUGACUGGGGCU